Long non-coding RNA from Drosophila arizonae, 102 nucleotides. The record is from RefSeq and is a predicted model, not a curated record. Lineage: Eukaryota; Metazoa; Arthropoda; Insecta; Diptera; Drosophilidae.
AGGAGGGGCAUGCCUGGUAUGCGCAACAUCUUGAAUAAUUUUUAUUUUGUAUGAUUCUGUUUAAUAGACUUUUUCACUUGUUUUUCUUUUGUUAUGGUGCUG